UACGUAGGGCGCAAGCGUUGUCCGGAAUUAUUGGGCGUAAAGAGCUCGUAGGCGGUUUGUCGCGUCUGCUGUGAAAACCUAAGGCUCAACCUUGGGCUUGCAGUGGGUACGGGCAGACUAGAGUGCGGUAGGGGUGACUGGAAUUCCUGGUGUAGCGGUGAAAUGCGCAGAUAUCAGGAGGAACACCGGUGGCGAAGGCGGGUCUCUGGGCCGAUACUGACGCUGAGGAGCGAAAGCGUGGGGAGCAAACAGG
RNAcentral lists this ribosomal RNA (253 nucleotides) under uncultured bacterium. RNAcentral's name for it is "partial 16S ribosomal RNA". It matches the Rfam family "Bacterial small subunit ribosomal RNA", at positions 524 to 776 of the family's 1533-position model. The record is from RNAcentral.